This 449-nucleotide ribosomal RNA is filed under the name uncultured bacterium. RNAcentral describes it as "bacterial SSU rRNA". It matches the Rfam family "Bacterial small subunit ribosomal RNA", at positions 328 to 794 of the family's 1533-position model. The record is from RNAcentral.
CAGCCAGACUCCUACGGGAGGCAGCAGUGGGGAAUAUUGCACAAUGGGGGAAACCCUGAUGCAGCGACGCCGCGUGAGCGAUGAAGUAUUUCGGUCUGUAAAGCUCUAUCAGCAGGGAAGAAGAUGACGGUACCUGACUAAGAAGCCCCGGCUAACUACGUGCCAGCAGCCGCGGUAAUACGUAGGGGGCAAGCGUUAUCCGGAUUUACUGGGUGUAAAGGGAGCGUAGACGGCGAUGCAAGCCAGAUGUGAAAGCCCGGGGCUCAACCCCGGGACUGCAUUUGGAACUGUGUGGCUGGAGUGUCGGAGAGGCAGGCGGAAUUCCUAGUGUGGCGGUGAAAUGCGUAGAUAUUAGGAGGAACACCAGUGGCGAAGGCGGCCUGCUGGACGAUGACUGACGUUGAGGCUCGAAAGCGUGGGGAGCGAACAGGAUUAGAUACCCCCGUACC